Molecule: ribosomal RNA, 495 nt
Filed under: Salmonella enterica
Lineage: Bacteria; Pseudomonadati; Pseudomonadota; Gammaproteobacteria; Enterobacterales; Enterobacteriaceae
Also listed under: 1 other name
Description: bacterial SSU rRNA
Rfam family: Bacterial small subunit ribosomal RNA
Source: RNAcentral
GCUGUCGUCAGCUCGUGUUGUGAAAUGUUGGGUUAAGUCCCGCAACGAGCGCAACCCUUAUCCUUUGUUGCCAGCGGUUAGGCCGGGAACUCAAAGGAGACUGCCAGUGAUAAACUGGAGGAAGGUGGGGAUGACGUCAAGUCAUCAUGGCCCUUACGACCAGGGCUACACACGUGCUACAAUGGCGCAUACAAAGAGAAGCGACCUCGCGAGAGCAAGCGGACCUCAUAAAGUGCGUCGUAGUCCGGAUUGGAGUCUGCAACUCGACUCCAUGAAGUCGGAAUCGCUAGUAAUCGUGGAUCAGAAUGCCACGGUGAAUACGUUCCCGGGCCUUGUACACACCGCCCGUCACACCAUGGGAGUGGGUUGCAAAAGAAGUAGGUAGCUUAACCUUCGGGAGGGCGCUUACCACUUUGUGAUUCAUGACUGGGGUGAAGUCGUAACAAGGUAACCGUAGGGGAACCUGCGGUUGGAUCACCUCCUUACCUUAAAGAA